UGAGGAAUAUUGGUCAAUGGGCGAGAGCCUGAACCAGCCAAGUAGCGUGAAGGAUGACUGCCCUAUGGAUUGUAAACUUCUUUUAUAAAGGAAUAAAGUCAGGUAUGUAUGCCUGUUUGCAUGUACUUUAUGAAUAAGGAUCGGCUAACUCCGUGCCAGCAGCCGCGGUAAUACGGAGGAUCCGAGCGUUAUCCGGAUUUAUUGGGUUUAAAGGGAGCGUAGACGGGCCGUUAAGUCAGCUGUGAAAGUUUGAGGCUCAACCGUAAAAUUGCAGUUGAUACUGGAUAUCUUGAGUGCAGUUGAGGCAGGCGGAAUUCGUGGUGUAGCGGUGAAAUGCUUAGAUAUCACGAAGAACUCCGAUUGCGAAGGCAGCCUGCUAAGCUGCAACUGACAUUGAGGCUCGAAAGUGUGGGUAUCAAACAGGAUUAGAUACCCUGGUAGUCCACACGGUAAACGAUGAAUACUCGCUGUUUGCGAUAUACUGCAAGCGGCCAAGCGAAAGCGUUAAGUAUUCCACCUGGGGAGUACGCCGGCAACGGUGAAACUCAAAGGAAUUGACGGGGGCCCGCACAAGCGGAGGAACAUGUGGUUUAAUUCGAUGAUACGCGAGGAACCUUACCCGGGCUUAAAUUGCAGAUGAAUUACGGUGAAAGCCGUAAGCCGCAAGGCAUCUGUGAAGGUGCUGCAUGGUUGUCGUCAGCUCGUGCCGUGAGGUGUCGGCUUAAGUGCCAUAACGAGCGCAACCCUUGUUGUCAGUUACUAACAGGUUUUGCUGAGGACUCUGACAAGACUGCCAUCGUAAGAUGUGAGGAAGGUGGGGAUGACGUCAAAUCAGCACGGCCCUUACGUCCGGGGCUACACACGUGUUACAAUGGGGGGUACAGAGGGCCGCUACCACGCGAGUGGAUGCCAAUCCCCAAAACCUCUCUCAGUUCGGACUGGAGUCUGCAACCCGACUCCACGAAGCUGGAUUCGCUAGUAAUCGCGCAUCAGCCACGGCGCGGUGAAUACGUUCCC
This 1017-nucleotide ribosomal RNA is filed under the name uncultured bacterium. RNAcentral describes it as "bacterial SSU rRNA". It matches the Rfam family "Bacterial small subunit ribosomal RNA", at positions 355 to 1375 of the family's 1533-position model. The record is from RNAcentral.